This is a long non-coding RNA of Anopheles funestus (African malaria mosquito), 807 nucleotides long. RefSeq lists it as uncharacterized. Lineage: Eukaryota; Metazoa; Arthropoda; Insecta; Diptera; Culicidae. The transcript is spliced from 3 exons. The record is from RefSeq and is a predicted model, not a curated record.
UUGGCUAAGGUGUCUUGGCUAAUGUGUCUCGACUAAUGUGUCUUGGCUAAGGUGUCUUGGCUAAUGUGUCUUGGCUAAGGUGUCUUGGCUAAUGUGUCUCGGCUAAAUUGUCUUGGCUAAUGUGUCUUGGCUAAGGUGUCUUGGCUAAUGUGUCUUGGCUAAGGUGUCUUGGCUAAGGUGUCUUGGCUAAUGUGUCUUGGCUAAAGUGUCUUGGCUUAGGUGUCUUGGCUAAUGUGUCUCGGCUAAUGUGUCUCGGCUAAAGUGUCUUGGCUAAGGUGUCUUGGCUAAUGUGUCUUGGCUAAUGUGUCUUGGCUAAGGUGUCUUGGCUAAUGUGUCUUGGCUAAGGUGUCUUGGCUAAGGUGUCUUGGCUAAGGUGUCUUGGCUAAGGUGUCUUGGCUAAGGUGUCUUGGCUAAUGUGUCUCGGCUAAUGUGUCUUGACUAAGGUGUCUUGGCUAUUGUGUCUUGGCUAAAGUGUCUUGGCUAAGGUGUCUUGGCUAAUGUGUCUCGGCUAAGGUGUCUUGGCUAAGGUGUCUUGGCUAAUGUGUCUCGGCUUAUGUGGCUUGGCUAAUGUGUCUUGGCUAAUGUGUCUUGGCUAAGGUGUCUUGGCUAAGGUGUCUUGGCUAAGGUGUCUUGGCUAAUGUGUCUUGGCUAAGGUGUCUUGGCUAAGGUGUCUUGGCUAAUGUGUCUUGGCUAAGGUGUCUUGGCUAAGGUGUCUUGGCUAAGGUGUCUUGGCUAAGGUGUCUUGGCUAAGGUGUCUUGGCUAAUGUGUCUCGGCUAAGGUGUCUUGGCUAAGGUGUCUUGGCUAAU